RNAcentral lists this ribosomal RNA (892 nucleotides) under uncultured bacterium. RNAcentral describes it as "bacterial SSU rRNA". It matches the Rfam family "Bacterial small subunit ribosomal RNA", at positions 28 to 897 of the family's 1533-position model. The record is from RNAcentral.
AACGAACGCUGGCGGCGUGCUUAACACAUGCAAGUCGAACGGAUCAAGGGGCUUGCUCCUUGAUUAGUGGCGCACGGGUGAGUAACGCGUGGAUAAUCUGCCCGACGAUCUGGGAUAACAUCUCGAAAGGGGUGCUAAUACCGGAUAAGCCCACGGGGUCUUCGGAUCUUGCGGGAAAAGAGGGGGACCUUCGGGCCUCUUGUCGUCGGAUGAGUCCGCGUACCAUUAGCUAGUUGGCGGGGUAAAGGCCCACCAAGGCUACGAUGGUUAGCUGGUCUGAGAGGAUGAUCAGCCACACUGGAACUGAGACACGGUCCAGACUCCUACGGGAGGCAGCAGUGGGGAAUUUUGCGCAAUGGGGGAAACCCUGACGCAGCAACGCCGCGUGAGUGAUGAAGGCCUUCGGGUCGUAAAGCUCUGUCUAGAGGAAAGAAGUGUGGGGUGGCUAAUAUCCACUUCACUUGACGGUACCUCUGAAGGAAGGCACCGGCUAACUCCGUGCCAGCAGCCGCGGUAAUACGGAGGGUGCGAGCGUUGUUCGGAUUUAUUGGGCGUAAAGCGCGUGUAGGCGGUUUCUUAAGUCUGAUGUGAAAGCCCCGGGCUCAACCUGGGAAGUGCAUUGGAUACUGGGAGACUUGAAUACGGGAGAGGGUAGUGGAAUUCCUAGUGUAGGAGUGAAAUCCGUAGAUAUUAGGAGGAACACCGGUGGCGAAGGCGGCUACCUGGACCGAUAUUGACGCUGAGACGCGAAAGCGUGGGUAGCAAACAGGAUUAGAUACCCUGGUAGUCCACGCCGUAAACGAUGAGAACUAGGUGUUGCGGGUAUUGACCCCUGCAGUGCCGCAGCUAACGCAUUAAGUUCUCCGCCUGGGAAGUACGGUCGCAAGACUAA